CCCGGUCUACUCACCUGUCUCCUGCUCAUCUGGUCCUGCUAUUUGUGGUGGUUCUGGGUGUGUGGGCGGCUGGUGCUCCACCGGCAAAAACAACAA
This is a small nucleolar RNA of Drosophila melanogaster (fruit fly), 96 nucleotides long. NCBI's taxonomy places the organism in Eukaryota, Metazoa, Arthropoda, Insecta, Diptera, Drosophilidae. The record is from Ensembl.